Molecule: ribosomal RNA, 2476 nt
Filed under: insect metagenome
Description: bacterial LSU rRNA
Rfam family: Bacterial large subunit ribosomal RNA
Source: RNAcentral
UGAGAAACAAAAGGGCAUUUGGUGGAUGCCUUGGUACCAGGAGGCGAUGAAAGACGUGGCACGCUGCGAUAAGCCAUGGGGAGCUGCGAGCAAGCUUUGAUCCGUGGAUUUCUGAAUGGGGAAACCCCCUCGUAAUGAGGAUCAUGUACUGAAUACAUAGGUACAUGAGGCGAACCCGGGGAACUGAAACAUCUAAGUACCCGGAGGAAAAGACAUCAACCGAGAUUCCGCUAGUAGUGGCGAGCGAACGCGGAAAAGGCCAGUGCCUAGAUAAUGAUAAGCAGAAUGAUCUGGAAAGUUCAGCCAUAGAAGGUGAUAGCCCUGUAUGUGCAUAAUCAUUGUUUAGGCCUUGAGUAGGGCGAGGCACGAGAAACCUUGUCUGAAUAUGGGGGGACCACCCUCCAAGCCUAAAUACUACCUGGUGACCGAUAGUGAACAAGUACCGUGAGGGAAAGGUGAAAAGCACCCCGGAAGGGGAGUGAAAUAGUUCCUGAAACCAUGUGCCUACAAGCAGUCAGAGCCCGUUAAUGGGUGAUGGCGUGCCUCUUGUAGAAUGAACCGGCGAGUUACAGUUGCAUGCAAGGUUAAGCCGAAAAAGCGGAGCCGUAGCGAAAGCGAGUCUUAAUAGGGCGUCUUAGUAUGUUGCCGUAGACCCGAAACCAGGUGAUCUACCCAUGUCCAGGAUGAAAGUGCGGUAAUACGCACCGGAGGUCCGAACCCGUGUACGUUGAAAAGUGCUGGGAUGAGGUGUGGGUAGCGGUGAAAUUCCAAACGAACUUGGAGAUAGCUGGUUCUCUCCGAAAUAGCUUUAGGGCUAGCCUCGGAUUUAGAAUCAUGGAGGUAGAGCCACUGUUUGAGCAAGGGGUCCAUCUAGGAUUACUGAGUUCAGAUAAACUCCGAAUACCAUUGAUUUAUGUCCGGGAGUCAGACGAUGAGUGAUAAGAUCCAUCGUCGAAAGGGGAACAGCCCAGACCGCCAGUUAAGGUCCCUAAAUAUAUGCUAAGUGGAAAAGGAAGUGGAGUUGCAUAGACAACUAGGAUGUUGGCUCAGAAGCAGCCACCAUUUAAAGAGUGCGUAAUAGCUCACUAGUCGAGUGAUUCUGCGCCGAAAAUUUACCGGGGCUAAGCAUAUUACCGAGACUGCGGACGCAACUAUGUUGCGUGAUAGGAGAGCGUUCUAAGGGCAAUGAAGGUAGACCGUAAGGACUACUGGAGCGCUUAGAAGUGAGAAUGCCGGUAUGAGUAGCGAAAGAUCAGUGAGAAUCUGAUCCACCGAAUGACUAAGGUUUCCUGGGGAAGGCUCGUCCACCCAGGGUUAGUCGGGACCUAAGCCGAGGCUGAGAAGCGUAGGCGAUGGAUAACAGGUUGAGAUUCCUGUACUAGUUAAUUAUGUUUGAACGAUGGAGGGACGCAGUAGGCUAAGAUAUGCACACGAUUGGAAAUGUGUGUUCAAAUCGUAAGUCAGUUUAAGAGUUAAAUGCUUUUAAGCGGGUUGACAAGCGAUGAUGAGGAUCGAAAUUUAAGUAGAGAAGUAUCUGACGUCACACUGCCGAGAAAAGCUUCUAGUUAGUAAUUAAUUACCCGUACCGCAAACCGACACAGGUAGUCGAGGAGAGUAUCCUCAGGUGAGCGAGAGAACUAUCGUUAAGGAACUCGGCAAAAUGACCCCGUAACUUCGGAAGAAGGGGUGCUGGCCUCACGGCCAGCCGCAGUGAAAAGACUCAAACGACUGUUUAUCAAAAACACAGGUUUAUGCAAAAUCGUAAGAUGAAGUAUAUGGGCUGACGCCUGCCCGGUGCUGGAAGGUUAAGUGGAAGUGUUAGCUUCGGCGAAGCACCGAAAUGAAGCCCCAGUAAACGGCGGCCGUAACAAUAACGGUCCUAAGGUAGCGAAAUUCCUUGUCGGGUAAGUUCCGACCCGCACGAAAGGCGUAACGAUUUGAGUACUGUCUCAACGAUAGACUCGGUGAAAUUAAGAUACCUGUGAAGAAGCAGGUUACCCGCGACAGGACGGAAAGACCCCAUGGAGCUUUACUGUAGCUUGAUAUUGGGUGUUUACAUAACUUGUACAGGAUAGGUAGGAGCCAUAGAAGCCGGGACGCUAGUCUCGGUGGAGGCGUCAGUGGGAUACUACCCUUGUUAUGUGAACACUCUAACCCUGCGCACUAAUCGUGCGCGGAGACAGUGUCUGGUUGGCAGUUUGACUGGGGCGGUCGCCUCCUAAACAGUAACGGAGGCGCUCAAAGGUUUGCUUAGAAUGGUUGGAAAUCAUUCCUAAAGUGUAAAGGCAAAAGCAAGCUUGACUGCGAGACAAACAGGUCGAGCAGGGACGAAAGUCGGACUUAGUGAUCCGGUGGUACCAUAUGGAAGGGCCAUCGCUCAACGGAUAAAAGCUACCCUGGGGAUAACAGGCUUAUCUCCCCCAAGAGUUCACAUCGACGGGGAGGUUUGGCACCUCGAUGUCGGCUCAUCACAUCC